GUCGAGCGGACAGAAGGGAGCUUGCUCCCGGAUGUUAGCGGCGGACGGGUGAGUAACACGUGGGUAACCUGCCUGUAAGACUGGGAUAACUCCGGGAAACCGGAGCUAAUACCGGAUAGUUCCUUGAACCGCAUGGUUCAAGGAUGAAAGACGGUUUCGGCUGUCACUUACAGAUGGACCCGCGGCGCAUUAGCUAGUUGGUGGGGUAAUGGCUCACCAAGGCGACGAUGCGUAGCCGACCUGAGAGGGUGAUCGGCCACACUGGGACUGAGACACGGCCCAGACUCCUACGGGAGGCAGCAGUAGGGAAUCUUCCGCAAUGGACGAAAGUCUGACGGAGCAACGCCGCGUGAGUGAUGAAGGUUUUCGGAUCGUAAAGCUCUGUUGUUAGGGAAGAACAAGUGCGAGAGUAACUGCUCGCACCUUGACGGUACCUAACCAGAAAGCCACGGCUAACUACGUGCCAGCAGCCGCGGUAAUACGUAGGUGGCAAGCGUUGUCCGGAAUUAUUGGGCGUAAAGGGCUCGCAGGCGGUUUCUUAAGUCUGAUGUGAAAGCCCCCGGCUCAACCGGGGAGGGUCAUUGGAAACUGGGAAACUUGAGUGCAGAAGAGGAGAGUGGAAUUCCACGUGUAGCGGUGAAAUGCGUAGAGAUGUGGAGGAACACCAGUGGCGAAGGCGACUCUCUGGUCUGUAACUGACGCUGAGGAGCGAAAGCGUGGGGAGCGAACAGGAUUAGAUACCCUGGUAGUCCACGCCGUAAACGAUGAGUGCUAAGUGUUAGGGGGUUUCCGCCCCUUAGUGCUGCAGCUAACGCAUUAAGCACUCCGCCUGGGGAGUACGGUCGCAAGACUGAAACUCAAAGGAAUUGACGGGGGCCCGCACAAGCGGUGGAGCAUGUGGUUUAAUUCGAAGCAACGCGAAGAACCUUACCAGGUCUUGACAUCCUCUGACAACCCUAGAGAUAGGGCUUUCCCUUCGGGGACAGAGUGACAGGUGGUGCAUGGUUGUCGUCAGCUCGUGUCGUGAGAUGUUGGGUUAAGUCCCGCAACGAGCGCAACCCUUGAUCUUAGUUGCCAGCAUUCAGUUGGGCACUCUAAGGUGACUGCCGGUGACAAACCGGAGGAAGGUGGGGAUGACGUCAAAUCAUCAUGCCCCUUAUGACCUGGGCUACACACGUGCUACAAUGGACA
This 1191-nucleotide ribosomal RNA is filed under the name Bacillus safensis. RNAcentral describes it as "bacterial SSU rRNA". It matches the Rfam family "Bacterial small subunit ribosomal RNA", at positions 61 to 1236 of the family's 1533-position model. The record is from RNAcentral. Lineage: Bacteria; Bacillati; Bacillota; Bacilli; Caryophanales; Bacillaceae.